UCACAGUAUUCGCCCUAUCCUGUUUGAUGAUUUGUUCAUGAGCUAAUUUGUUCUUAUUGUGGUUCCACUUCUAUUUCUAUCUCGCAGGAUUUUGUUCCAAUGACACGUUGCUGACUAUUUGAGUUUUUGCUCAAUCAGGCAUGUAGUGUCCGCCAUCAUGUAAUUUUAGGACCAAAUUCAGAGAAAACAGUCUCAUUUCUAAGAAGAGCAUCUUGAGAGCCUCCAUCAUGUUCUGGAUAAAGCAGCUGACGAAAUAGUAUGCUGAUCCCGUCCCUUGUUGACGAUGAAUUUGCCUUGAGCACCGCGGUUUCGUCAAUUUGGUUGAGCUUGCUGUCCUCUAGG
Molecule: long non-coding RNA, 342 nt
Organism: Triticum dicoccoides
Lineage: Eukaryota; Viridiplantae; Streptophyta; Magnoliopsida; Poales; Poaceae
Exons: 3
Source: RefSeq, a predicted model, not a curated record